Molecule: transfer RNA, 94 nt
Filed under: Aequorivita ciconiae
Lineage: Bacteria; Pseudomonadati; Bacteroidota; Flavobacteriia; Flavobacteriales; Flavobacteriaceae
Description: Aequorivita sp. H23M31 tRNA-Sec
Rfam family: tRNA
About the family: Transfer RNA (tRNA) molecules are approximately 80 nucleotides in length. Their secondary structure includes four short double-helical elements and three loops (D, anti-codon, and T loops).
Source: RNAcentral
GCAGCGUUGGUGUAAUGGCAGCACACAAGCCUUCAAAGCUUGACGACGUACCUCCAGUACGUAAGCGUGGGUUCGAUUCCCACACGCUGCUCCA